This 200-nucleotide unclassified non-coding RNA is filed under the name soil metagenome. RNAcentral's name for it is "partial contains internal transcribed spacer 2 and large subunit ribosomal RNA". The record is from RNAcentral.
CGUCAGUAUAAUCUCAAGCAACCGCUUGGUAUUGGAGGAUGAUCUGCCUAGCAGUUCACUUCUUAAACUGAUUGGCAAGUUUACAUAGCAGCAAGCGUAGUAGAAAUACCAUCAGCUUAGUUACUCUGUACAGCUUUGUCAAAAUCAAACUAUCUUUAAGGUUUGACCUCAGAUCAGGUAAGGAUACCCCCUGAACUUAA